Long non-coding RNA from Cotesia glomerata, 433 nucleotides. RefSeq lists it as uncharacterized. The transcript is spliced from 2 exons. NCBI's taxonomy places the organism in Eukaryota, Metazoa, Arthropoda, Insecta, Hymenoptera, Braconidae. The record is from RefSeq and is a predicted model, not a curated record.
UCAUCCCAUCUCACUCCCACCUAAUCAACUUGGAUUUGUAGAUGUGUUUAUCAGUGUGACGAUGGUGGGUUACUGAUGACGUCGAAUGCGAACGUCAUUUAACACAUCAAAUUUCAUUCUCUUUUAGUUUAUUGUUAAUUGUUUUUCGUUUUGAAAGUGAUAGUGAUUGUUGCAGCAAUAGCAAAGAGUUGUAUUAUCAAUUCACAUGGACACGAAGUGCCGACAAGUGUCGGAUAACGAAUGACGUGUGUUUGGAGUCCACGUGCGUCAUAGAGGCAGUAAUUACAUAUAUAUUACGACGAUUCAGCAUCGCUGUUAAUGUCCUUACCAGUGUGUAGUAUUAAGCCAGACGUAUUAAAUAGGCAAAGAUAAAAACUGACUACACAAUAGCAUCAUAUUGUAAGAAUACGAAUAUUAUAUCAUAUACAAUAUA